This 490-nucleotide ribosomal RNA is filed under the name uncultured bacterium. Its description in RNAcentral is "partial 16S ribosomal RNA". It matches the Rfam family "Bacterial small subunit ribosomal RNA", at positions 30 to 507 of the family's 1533-position model. The record is from RNAcentral.
AUUGAACGCUGGCGGCAGGCUUAACACAUGCAAGUCGAGCGGUAGCACAGGGGAGCUUGCUCCCUGGGUGACGAGCGGCGGACGGGUGAGUAAUGUCUGGGAAACUGCCUGAUGGAGGGGGAUAACUACUGGAAACGGUAGCUAGUACCGCAUAACGUCGCAAGACCAAAGAGGGGGACCUUCGGGCCUCUUGCCAUCAGAUGUGCCCAGAUGGGAUUAGCUAGUAGGUGGGGUAAUGGCUCACCUAGGCGACGAUCCCUAGCUGGUCUGAGAGGAUGACCAGCCACACUGGAACUGAGACACGGUCCAGACUCCUACGGGAGGCAGCAGUGGGGAAUAUUGCACAAUGGGCGCAAGCCUGAUGCAGCCAUGCCGCGUGUGUGAAGAAGGCCUUCGGGUUGUAAAGCACUUUCAGCGAGGAGGAAGGUGGUGAGCUUAAUACGUUCAUCAAUUGACGUUACUCGCAGAAGAAGCACCGGCUAACUCCGUG